Molecule: small RNA, 567 nt
Filed under: Stylophora sp. D RA-2016
Lineage: Eukaryota; Metazoa; Cnidaria; Anthozoa; Scleractinia; Pocilloporidae
Description: eukaryotic LSU rRNA
Rfam family: Eukaryotic large subunit ribosomal RNA (bases 338-567)
Source: RNAcentral
GCAGAAUUCAGUGAAUCAUCGAAUCUUUGAACGCAAAUGGCGCUCUUGGGUUCUCCCAGGAGCAUGUCUGUCUGAGUGUCUUUUUCGUUGAAUGACAUUCGCACGAUGUGGCCGUGUUAUGCACUGGCGUUUCGUGCGGCGUUGAGGUUCGCGGCCUUGCUAUUCUUAGGCCGCGUGCCUUUAAAUGGAGGAGGAAGAUGGGCUCAAGGUCCGGUGCAGUCGCAUGCGGAUUCAGUUCAUGUGCCGCAUGUGACUGCUGCACCGGGAAUAUUGUCCUCGGCCCUCUACCUCGUGACCUUUAGCACGACGCUCGUUCGUUCGUUCGUUGCUUGCCGCCAGACCUCAGAUCAGGCAAGGCUACCCGCUGAAUUUAAGCAUAUUAAUAAGCGGAGGAAAAGAAACUAACAAGGAUUCCCCCAGUAACGGCGAGUGAAGCGGGAAGAGCUCAAAUUUGAAAUCUCCGAUGCCUGCAUCGGCGAGUUGUAGUUGCGAGAAGCACUUUCUAGGCGGAAGGGCCCUGCCUAAGUUGCUUGGAACAGCACGUCGCAGAGGGUGACAACCCCGUCU